CCUACGGGUGGCAGCAGUGAGGAAUAUUGGUCAAUGGACGAGAGUCUGAACCAGCCAAGUAGCGUGAAGGAUGACUGCCCUAUGGGUUGUAAACUUCUUUUAUAUGGGAAUAAAAUGUUCCACGUGUGGGAUUUUGUAUGUACCAUAUGAAUAAGGAUCGGCCAAACUCGUGCCAGGCGCCGCGGUAAUACGGUGGGCCCGAGGGUUAUCCGGAAUUAUUGGGUUUAAAGGGAGCGUAGGUGGGUUGGUAAGUCAGGUGUGAAAUUUUGGGGGUCAACCGUAAAAUUGCAGUUGAAACUGGCAGUCUUGAGUACAGUAGAGGUGGGCGGAAUUCGUGGUGUAGCGGUGAAAUGCUUAGAUAUCACGAAGAACUCCGAUUGCGAAGGCAGCUCACUGGACUGCAACUGACACUGAGGCUCGAAAGUGUGGGUAUCAAACAGGAUUAGAUACCCGUGUAGUC
RNAcentral lists this ribosomal RNA (460 nucleotides) under uncultured bacterium. Its description in RNAcentral is "partial 16S ribosomal RNA". It matches the Rfam family "Bacterial small subunit ribosomal RNA", at positions 338 to 795 of the family's 1533-position model. The record is from RNAcentral.